UGCCUAAUACAUGCAAGUCGAGCGGACAGAUGGGAGCUUGCUCCUGAUGUUAGCGGCGGACGGGUGAGUAACACGUGGGUAACCUGCCUGUAAGACUGGGAUAACUCCGGGAAACCGGGGGCUAAUACCGGAUGCUUGUUUGAACCGCAUGGUUCAGACAUAAAAAGGUGGCUUCGGCUACCACUUACAGAUGGACCCGCGGCGCAUUAGCUAGUUGGUGAGGUAACGGCUCACCAAGGCGACGAUGCGUAGCCGACCUGAGAGGGUGAUCGGCCACACUGGGACUGAGACACGGCCCAGACUCCUACGGGAGGCAGCAGUAGGGAAUCUUCCGCAAUGGACGAAAGUCUGACGGAGCAACGCCGCGUGAGUGAUGAAGGUUUUCGGAUCGUAAAGCUCUGUUGUUAGGGAAGAACAAGUGCCGUUCAAAUAGGGCGGCACCUUGACGGUACCUAACCAGAAAGCCACGGCUAACUACGUGCCAGCAGCCGCGGUAAUACGUAGGUGGCAAGCGUUGUCCGGAAUUAUUGGGCGUAAAGGGCUCGCAGGCGGUUUCUUAAGUCUGAUGUGAAAGCCCCCGGCUCAACCGGGGAGGGUCAUUGGAAACUGGGGAACUUGAGUGCAGAAGAGGAGAGUGGAAUUCCACGUGUAGCGGUGAAAUGCGUAGAGAUGUGGAGGAACACCAGUGGCGAAGGCGACUCUCUGGUCUGUAACUGACGCUGAGGAGCGAAAGCGUGGGGAGCGAACAGGAUUAGAUACCCUGGUAGUCCACGCCGUAAACGAUGAGUGCUAAGUGUUAGGGGGUUUCCGCCCCUUAGUGCUGCAGCUAACGCAUAAG
This 838-nucleotide ribosomal RNA is filed under the name Bacillus nakamurai. RNAcentral's name for it is "bacterial SSU rRNA". It matches the Rfam family "Bacterial small subunit ribosomal RNA", at positions 45 to 864 of the family's 1533-position model. Lineage: Bacteria; Bacillati; Bacillota; Bacilli; Caryophanales; Bacillaceae. The record is from RNAcentral.